Molecule: ribosomal RNA, 352 nt
Filed under: uncultured bacterium
Lineage: Bacteria
Description: partial 16S ribosomal RNA
Rfam family: Bacterial small subunit ribosomal RNA
Source: RNAcentral
ACUACGGGAGGCAGCAGUGGGGAAUAUUGGACAAUGGGGGGAACCCUGAUCCAGCGACGCCGCGUGAGUGAAGAAGGAUGGCGGUAUGUAAAGCUCUAUCAGCAGGGAAGAAAGAAAUGACGGUACCUGACUAAGAAGCCACGGCUAACGACGAGCCAGCAGCCGCGGUCAUACGUCGGGGGCAAGCGUUAUCCGGAUUUACGGGGUGUAAAGGGAGCGUAGACGGCGAUGCAAGUCUGAAGUGAAAGGCGGGGGCCCAACCUCCGGACUGCUUGGGAAACGGUAUGGCUGGCGGGCAGGGGAGGUAAGUGGAAUUCCUAGUGUAGCGGUGACAUGCGUAGAUCUUAGGAGG